Molecule: long non-coding RNA, 3403 nt
Filed under: Homo sapiens (human)
Lineage: Eukaryota; Metazoa; Chordata; Mammalia; Primates; Hominidae
Description: HSALNT0334152
Source: RNAcentral
AGGUUUAUUGCCUGGCUAUAGACAGCCCGAGAAAGAAAGUUAGCUUCCCACCCCCGGCAGCUGCAGUGAUUGGAAAACGAGCCUGAGCCUUUUCACCGAAAAGAAUAUAUCAUUAUCCGUUGGGUUCGCCCUACUUCCCUGUUAAGAAUCACCUGAAGUGCCUAAAAAUCCGCGAGUUUCAGGGCUUUUCCCUGGAAAUAAUGAUUUAGAACGUCCUGGGGGAGGGCCUAGGAGUCUGUGGGUUUAAUAAGCACCUCCAGGAUUUGUGUCUUCGGGUAAGGUGGCGUAAUACUAAAGAGCUGGUAUUCAAAAGUUUCUUUCCAAGAAAUUGCUUCUGUUACCCUGUUACGUUUAUCCAAAUAUUCUCUGUUAGUUGCUCUUUUAGAGUUGAAUUUCUCCAGCAGCUCCCACAAAUAAGCAGUUUUUCCUGGAAGGGGAAAUGUAACAGUUUAAGAGGGGGCUGGCUAGUCUUGAUUUUCGCAGUACACCGUCACCCCACCACCUCCUCAGCCAGUGAGCCACAGAUGUGUGUGGGGUGUCCAUUAUCAGCCUGUUCAGCUGGAUCGGUUUGUGACCCUAAAGUGAAUCUCCAGACUGAGUAGGAUGAUAGUGUAGGCAGAAGCCUUUUAAAGGAGGGAACUGGGGUGUGGAACGAGCAAGUUUCAGAGCCUCACUGGGCAGGCCUGGGCAGCCAGAAGACUGUGGGAAUACACAGAAGGUGGCUUUUUGUGCACCAUGGGCUGUGGCAGGAGAACUUGUUAUUCCCACCCUAGUAUCAGAAAUGCUCCAAGAGAGAGCAAAGGUUAAAUACCGUGGUGUGUUCCUCCAGGUUCACCGUGGGAAAAACCCUUUGCUCAGGGGCUGUCUGGCAGAAGGUGCUGGCAUCCACACCCUUGUCAGAACCCUCCAUAGACUGAGCAGCUAGAUCACCUAAGCUGAUGGAGCUUUCCUGCAAUACCAGACACUGGCAUCCAUGAAGCGAAGUCUUAGGGUGGGCAUUUUGUGGAAAAGAGAGAGGAAAGAAGGAUUUCUUGGGGUUAACAGAAAGUGGAUGUAGAUAAAGGGAAUUCUCCAGUCUUGCACCGCUAACAUGGUGCAAUAUUCACAAACAGACAUGAUUCGUGCUUGUGGACAAAACUGACCUCGGAGCUGAGGUGAGUGACAAACCAAAGUUGCCAGGCCUGAGUAGGGUCCUCGUGCCCAGAGGAGAAAGAGAAAAAACAAAGGAACUCUUUUCACUAAAUUCACCAGCUAUCUUCUGAUCCAGUUAAUUAACUGGGAAAACUAAAUUAAACCCUAACGCCUUAUUCAUCUUUGAGGGGACCUGUGAUGUCUCUGAGCACUAAUGGCAGGGAGGUGGGCAGUGCUGGGCUGGAACAUCUCCCAUGGACAGCCAAGCAGCAUUCUGUUAAUCGUGGCUAUUAAACUGCUUUCUUGGGAGUUGUUUUUGAUCCAUGUGGAAUAGAUUAAGAGUCUGUUUUGAAUCCCCUAGAGUUUCCUGUGGAGCAUAAUUAGAGAUGCAUUGGAAUAGGAAUUCAGGUCAACACUUUAAUGAGAUGUCUGAAGAGUAUGGCCCAGCAAGGGGGAGGGUAGAGGGAGUGGAGUGGUGGAGAUGAGGAAGGGACAUUGUCAGGAUGAGGGGGCAAAAGAAUGAAGAUUUUUGUGAGGAGGUGAAUGAAAGACAAGGAACCACAGAGGAGAGAGAAAUGGAGAGUGAGAGAAGCAAGGAAAUGAGAAGUGAGUAGCAUUCACUGUGUCCUACCACAUGCCAGGCACGUUUUCAAAGAUGAUGAGAAAAACAGUUGAGAAAAUGAUACUGGAAGCCCAUGGAGAGGUUCACAGCCUUGGAUUCUGAUGCUUGUCUUGAAUCUAUCUGGAGACAGUAGAGAGAUAGGGAGAAUGGGCUUUGUCAUCAAACAGACCUUGGUUUGAUUCUUAAUCCCGUCCUUUUUGAGCUCUGUGACUGUUGGCAAGUCACUGACCCUCUCUGAAACUGUUUCCUCACCUGUCAAACGAAGGUUAACUAUAUAAUGUUUAUAACACUCCCAGAAUGGACUAUUGUCUAGCAUAUAUUAGAUGUUCAAUAAAUUAUUGUUACAAUGAGGAAUCUGAGGAUGAGAGAGGUCAGCUUGGCCUAGGAGCUCAUAACUAGUCAGUAACAGAAUUGAAAGGUAAGCCCAGGUUUGUCUGAUCUCCACUGCCACCAAGCAAAAUGUACAUACAUGACUGACCUUCUGUGGGGGAAAACAAGGUCUGUUCUCCACAGGGUGACCCUUAGCCCAUGAUGACAGUCCUUAUAAGUGGUACUGGCACUGAAUGGAGAGCUAAACCAGCUUCAACCAAUUUCAAUCAGCUAUGGCAGGAUUUUAAAAUUUAGAUUUGGUGACAUUACUUCCACAGACUGGUUUUCACAGGGCAUGCCCUUGCUUGUAUCUCCCCAUAGGUAUGUAAAGUUGCAUCCCUUGCUGAGUUCAUUCCAGGGCUGAGUUCCCAUGAUAUACCUUGCACUAUUUCAGUGCCCUAAGGAUGAUAUAGUCCCAUUGGAGAACUGUGGCAGUCUCUAAUGGUGGUAUGCUGCUCUUCAAGUUCUAGAACCUGCUGCAAGAGUCUGCCUUUGGGAUCCAUGGGAGGGCUCACACCAAGGUCACAGUCUUCCCCAGGCUGCUCCCAGUCCACAGCACAUGGCAGGAGUACUGGAGCUGGGCCACUUCUGCUCAAGUCAAGCAUUGAAAAAUCCUGGAACUUUCAAUAUUUAUGUAGCCAAAGUGUCUCUCUUGCUCACUCACUUGCUUGCUUGUGUACCACUAAUUGAGCAACUACUAUGGGCCAGAUGCUCUGGAAAAUGUUGUUCUGAAGAGGAGUACUAAUCUUCACCAGUGGUGCACCUAGCUGUAUUUUGCACAUUAGGAAACAGACCCAGAGGCACACCUCCCAGAUGCAUCUUCCUCAUGGGGUUGUCGCAGGGUUUAAGAAAAUGAACUCAUAUAAAGGGCUCAGAAUAGUGUCUGGAUCACAGAACUCUGAAGAAUUUAUGUCAGUGAUUCUGAAGUGAGAAUGGAACAUGGAUCCAACCCCUCUAAGGCAGAAGAGAUGUGAGCAGAUUACCUUCUCUGUCCUUAAAAGGAGUGGCCCUGCAUUCCCUGAGAGGGCAUAGCUGGGGCAGUCAUCUGGACCCACCAGACAGGAGCUGAAGCUUGAUAAAAGGUGCCUGGUUCCAGUGACUAUGGAGCAGCCUGCCAGCACUAGAGGAGUCACAGAGAUGUCUAGAUGAGUCACAGAGACAUUUACAUGACAGAAAAAUAAACAACUAUGUUGUUUAAGCCAUUAUUAGUCAGUCUUUCAGUUCAAGCAGCUACACGUGUAUUUUAAUUAAUACCAAGACAGCUCUGUAAGUUUGAUCCAU